Molecule: ribosomal RNA, 274 nt
Filed under: uncultured bacterium
Lineage: Bacteria
Description: partial 16S ribosomal RNA
Rfam family: Bacterial small subunit ribosomal RNA
Source: RNAcentral
AUACGGAGGGUGCAAGCGUUACUCGGAAUCACUGGGCGUAAAGCGCGCGCAGGCGGCUAUUUAAGUUGAAUGUGAAAGCCUACGGCUCAACCGUAGAACUGCAUCCAAAACUAUUUAGCUAGAGUGUGGGAGAGGAAGAUGGAAUUAGUUGUGUAGGGGUAAAAUCCGUAGAGAUAACUAGGAAUACCAAAAGCGAAGGCAAUCUUCUGGAACACUACUGACGCUGAGGCGCGAAAGCGUGGGGAGCAAACAGGAUUAGAAACCCCAGUAGUCC